GUGCAUUGUAUUUCUCUCUCUCUCUCUCUCUCUCUCUCUGUGUGUGUGUGUGUGUGAGAGAGAGAGAGAGAGAGAGAGAGAGAGAGAGAGAGAGAUAAG
Podarcis lilfordi (Lilford's wall lizard) is the source of this 99-nucleotide non-coding RNA. NCBI's taxonomy places the organism in Eukaryota, Metazoa, Chordata, Lepidosauria, Squamata, Lacertidae. The record is from the annotation of a GenBank genome assembly.